UAGCAGAUGUGGAGUCGCAACAAGAUUGGCAGCACCAUCAGCUACCUGAUUUCCCUCCCGAUAUGUGUAUGAGAGCUGUCAUCAAAUCCCAGUGACUAUGAAUGCAAGGAUGAGCCAUAAUAGAGAAGGAGACAACAUAAAACAAUGGAUUUUCUAUUCGACAGGCAUCUUUACUUGAUUGAAACUAUACCUUUCUCGGCCUUUUGGCUAAGAUCAAGUGGAACCCAGAAGCUUGUUUACCAGAAAUUAAUUACAGGCACACAAACAAUGGAGACUCCAUCUGCUAGUCCCUUAACAUACGUAUAAAAGAAUUAGCCAUAACCAGAACUGUACCUUAACUGAUAAUUUUGCCUUAAUAUAGGUUGAUAAAUUAACAAAUGCUGAAAAUCCUAUAUCAUUUUCGAAAAGCCAGAGUAGGAGAAAUCUUGGCCAAAAUCAGGACGAGGACGGGAUACAAAUCUAGGGUUUCCAUGCUGACACCUUAGAACUUCACCAAUUACACUAGUUGGCACUCUUUAAAUCACAUGGAAUUGAGCACAAUCAAAUAAAAUCCAUAAGAUUCAGAGCCUAUUCAAGUUGAUUGGAAGGAGAAUGAUCCUUUUAGUUCCUUGGUGGGCGUCAUUCAGAUUUCAGGAUAGCCUAGUUUUGCUUCUUCAGCUUCCUCAUCACAAUUUGCAAGUCAACAUCUGAAAAAUAAAUGAAGAUCACUCAAAGGCCACAUAUAUACCAAGUAGCUAAAAUAAAUCUCCCUUAUGGUGCCAUUAGACGUGUGUGUUUGGUUAGAGACAUGGACAUGGACACGCUUCACUGAAAUCCAACUGAAAUAGCCACACAAGGGUUGCAUACCUAGCACGUAGCUUCUCUAACGCUCCCAACCAUUAAUGCUUCAAAAGUGAAAGAAUUAACGCUUCAAAAGUGAAAGGACCUCUCUGUUCCUGUGAUAAGAAAAUUUGUCCCUUGUGUAUGCCAUUUUGUGGUCCGUGGUCGGAGGCGAGGCAACGUCAACCGAAGGGACCGCAAAUCUAUGAAGAAUUCUGCGGCAAGGGAGCACAAUCAUGGCUUCUAUGCGGCAGAAAUGCUUCGAAAGACUCUCUCACGACGACGGCAGAGUCUCUCUCACACAAGGAGAAGGCGAGGGCAUGUAGAUUCUCUCGAGUAGCUCUUCAUCCGACCCUCCUGACCCCGGUAGAGCCCCAGCCUUUUGGUAAAGAAGUUUGUGGCCCGGUCUGGAUGGAGUGGAGAACCAAAUUCGCCUGGUGAUUGACGUAAAGAAUGCUUGGAUCUGUG
RNAcentral lists this long non-coding RNA (1287 nucleotides) under Phoenix dactylifera (date palm). Its description in RNAcentral is "long non-coding RNA (PDAC_LNC002888)". Lineage: Eukaryota; Viridiplantae; Streptophyta; Magnoliopsida; Arecales; Arecaceae. The record is from RNAcentral.